Molecule: long non-coding RNA, 304 nt
Filed under: Ananas comosus (pineapple)
Lineage: Eukaryota; Viridiplantae; Streptophyta; Magnoliopsida; Poales; Bromeliaceae
Description: long non-coding RNA (ACOM_LNC003849)
Source: RNAcentral
CGGGGAAUUUUAUCUUUUGGUUUUCCCGUGGGGUAGUAUUCAUGAUGUAGAUUAAAGUAUGUGUAUGUAUGGUUAUCAGGUAUUGCGGAUCCAUGGCUUCCAAUAAACGCAAGCGUCUAUUGUUAAUUACCCCUAUAGAAUAUUAGGGCACCUUCGAUUAAGAGACCUCUGAAAUGCUGAAGAUAAACUGGAAUUGGACAAAAGAAAAUUUAUAAUUUAUUGCUCAAUUACAUGGCUUUAACCAAGGGCAUACCCUCAGUGUACAUGAAUAGAGCGUAAAGAAAAUGUAUUUUUCAAUUGUAUC